UAGCUAGCUAGCUGACCCUCUGGGUUUACAUACAGGCUCUGUGCAGUGCUGAGUACUAUUCGUGAUGUUCAUAAUGCAUGCUUCCUAAAUUAUACAUCAUUAUGAGGAGCACAUAGCCAAUUAGUAUAUGGAUUUGUUCUGCUUGUGCAAAUCUUUUCUUGGGCUGAGGAAGUGUCAUACAGAGACUUGGCUGAAGAAAAAAAGAAAAUAGUUUAAUCUUAAAAGGUAAUUGUCAUCCUCUAGCUAAUGAUAAGCAAUAUUACUGCCUGCAUAUCAGCUGUAAUUAAGCGGUAAGACACAACAAGGUGUAUGUUACAUAGAGAUAACACAGUGUUUAGGAGCCAGUGACCUGCAAAGCACAUUAUCUCCCAGCUGCACAAGCCCCACAGCCCGUGUGUACAUCUGUGCUAGCAAAUCCACUGUCCUCUCUUUCCCUGCCUUCGCUCUGCUUUUCAAGGUGCAAAAAACUGGGAAGGAUAUUCAUAUUUCUUGUUGUGUCUCAGGAUGUUUUUUUAAAAAGCUCUUUUUACAUUCAUAUAUAUGUGUAUAUAUAUAUAUAUAUAUAUAUAUUAGUCAACUUCUGUACAUGUAACAAGCCAGUGUGAAACAUUACAAGGAGGCAUUCAGUGGAGUUCUGGGAAAUCGUAUCACUUAAAAUGGGGCCCAUCAGCGCUUUGUGAGACACGUAGGUGUGCAGUGUGCAGGGAAGGAUUCUCACUGAUGAUGCAAGUACCAGACUGACAGUAACUCUUAAUUUUCUCCAAGAAAGAUUUCAUGUUGUUCUCAAAGAUAGAAGAGGGAGCUUUCAGCUGGAACAUCGUGUUAGAUGAAUCUUGUUUCAAAGUAGCAUUGAUUUUUGGUUAGAAUUAAGGACUGGAAGUGUGAAGCUUGUACUGUUUGUACUUAACGUGAAAAUCUUUCCUAUCAAGAUGCCAUUUCCAUGUAAAUGUCCUCUAUAGACUGACUAAACUAUGAUCCUGCAUGAACGACUGAAUUAAAACCAGGGCUGACAGUGUGGUGUAAGCACUGAUAAAAAGCACACCGAGAAAGGGAGUGAGAACAUCUGAGUCCUGUUAGUUUGAGGAGGAAAACACACAGCUUCUGUUUUGUAGCAUAGGAACCCUUAGUGUAGAACUAGAAGGAACCCUAGUGAGUGAUAGCUCCCAAACAGCCACAGAAAACAGAAGGUGAGCUGGAAUGACAUCACUUUUGUCCUGCUAAGUGGGAUGAGUCUGCUAAAGGAAAGGGGAGGGGAUGGUACCAUUUCAUACAGCCUUCACCUCUGGGGAGGGCCACAUGCACAUCUCUGCUAGGCUUCAUUGGCGUAUUCAUGGUGCAGGAUGAAUGCGUAUUUGUGAGCACGUGAGGUUUCAUUUUGGAACAAAUGGAUAUACAUUAUGAGAUUUCCUCCUUAUAUUUUUCAUACUAAAUUGUGCUAGGCAGAAAAGUUUGUUGAUCCAGAAAAAUGGCAGGACAGUUGUCUUGUUGCUGAAGCCAUCCUGUACAUUGUCAGAUGCAGAGAAAGGUUCUUUGGACUUAAAUAGCCCUCAGCCUGUCUGGACGCUGGUUUCAAUUGGACAUCCUAGGUAUUACUGUAAUAAAAAUGUAAAUAAAGGAAGUUAGGCUUGAUGUAAGAGCAGAGAGACAAAGCAGAGGCAAUAGGAACAGCUGUCUGUUCCUCAGAGCCCUUCUACUGGGUGAGACUGUUUCUGAUUACAGCUGUAGCACUGUAAAUGCCUGCUAGAUGUCUGGUGAUAAUCCAUUCAAAGCAAUUACAAGGCAUCCGUCACCAGCAGGGUCUGAGCCACAGGCCGCUUAUCUGGGAAAAUUGAUGGAAGAGAAAGAGGCAGUGAGGGAAGAAAUCAAUGCCUUUCACCAAUGUUAUCUGCCAAAUUGAAUUAAGCAGCGUGGGAUCCCAGCUUUAUACACUGUGAGAAGUCAGAACUUAAAGAGUCUGCUUAUAGCGAGCUCGGCUGUGGGCAAGGCAGGUGAGGGAUGGACACUUGUACUGACCUGCAGUUCCAUCCAUGCCUCCUGCUAACAUCAGCAGCUCUUGUAUGUGCAGAAGGAGUCCAGAACUUAACUUACAGAACAUUUAACCUAAUGGCACCGCUUCCAGAUGUGAACUUUGUUCUUGUCUUCUUGAGGUCAUAACAUACCAUUCCCAGUUCUAUUCUAAUGGAGUGUAGAGAAAGCAACUACGAUGAUGCAAGCAGAGAUACAAUAACUGCAUGCUUACAAGCAGUAGUAGUGAAACUAUUGCUUAACAAUGAUCUGUUUAUUGAACCUUCUGGCAGUGCACUCAUGGUACAGAGAAGGUAAUCCAGGACUGAGAGCUGUAGAAAGCCAUCAAGUCAGGAGUUCAUGGGCAGGGGCACACUCUACAGAUGGUGGGAUUUUUUAGUUGUUUUUUUAGCCCAAGGAGCUGGGAGGGAGCAGGAUUAGAAUGGCUGACUGAAAGUGGCCCAAGGGAUGUUCCAUAGCGUCUGAUAUGUGGAAGGAGCUUUGGAGAGGGUGGGACUUCAUCUCUUCUGCUGCUCAGGGGUAGCUGGGCAUCAGCUGUGGGGUGCUGAGCAAGUGCUUGUGCAUCACUUGUUAUAUGCAUUCACGUCUGUCUAUCGAUAUAGUCGUAAUUGUUAUCCUUUUCCUUUUCUCGAUCUUAGUAAAUAUUUUAUCUCAAUCCAGGAGUUCUACAUUUAUUUAUUUAUUUUUUAGUUAUUCUUUCCCCCAUCCCACUGGGAAGAGGGACAGUGAGCGAACGACUGCGUGCAGCUCAGCCACCUGCCAGCUUAAUCCACAGCAGAUGUUUACAGAACACCCACGUAUCCACCCUCCCUCCAAAGGACGUGAGCGCAGAACGGCGGAGGAGGCGAACGAAUCACACAGAGCUACAACAGACUGAUCCAACAGCCCCAGAGGGAACCUGCUGAGGAAGCAGAGCCCGUGCUCAGCCCUCACCUCUUCCACACCUCUGCUCCAUCACAAGGCGCAGAGCACAUCCCCAGCCUGCAGGUCUCCGGGUGGGUCUGGUGUUCUGUUAGCACUGCUGCUGCCCAGGAACGUCUGUUUAAUCUGCUGGGUCUAAGAGGCUCAAGGAGAGCGUUUGGUGUUGGUGCUGUCACCUCUGCUGCUGCUGUAGGUAAAUAUACAUGUCACCUGGGAAAUUAACUCAAGGGAAAUAACAAUCUAAAGAAGUUACGUGUGUGCAUUUGCAUAGCAGGGUUUCUGUCUAAUGUAGUGUUUUAAUUAAACUGCUUUGAUAAGUCCUGACUUCUCAGACAGAGAUCCCUCACACUUUUCCAUACACGUCUCAGGUCUCUGACAUCUGCCUGGCCUGAACAAUGAGGGCCCAGCUGCAAGCAGAGAAAACUCAAAAACCAUUGCAUAUCUAUUUAUUUUUUUCUGGACAAACAAUUUUAUUUUAGGUAAUGCGUCUAUACACUGUACAUUCAGUCACUGUGGUAUAUAAGCAUAGCUAUUUUCAUACAUAAUCUCAUAAAGUCCUUUAUUUUACAAUAUUAUCUGCUUCAAGGGGAGGGGAUGUGGAAAAGGGGGUGGAAAAGGACUAUCAAGGUACACAGCGAAAUAGAUAAAUAUGCCAAGCUUUUUUCUUAUUUUUUUUUAAAUCAGGCAUUUAUAAACAAGAAAGCAUACAUUACUUACAUAAAAAUAGUUCUAGAAUAGUAGAGUAAGUCAUAAUAUUGUCAUUAGCAGCAGCAUAGGAGAGACCAGGAUAACAAAAAUGUGCUGAAAUGCUAUUGGCUAUUAUAAAUGUAUAGAUUUAUUUUUCUUCAAUUGAAAAAAUGUCAUUUCUGUGAUUUCUUUCAUUAAAAAAAAAAGAAAGAAAGAAAAAAAAACCAAUAACAAACAAAAAAACCAAAGCAACAGAAACCUCUUAAAACAUCUGGGCUGAUUCUGAGGAGAGGGCAGAACGGAAAGAAAAAUCAACCUUUUGGUAAUAAAAUACUUUACAGUGAAAAUACGGACAAAUAAAAUGCAAAUGAUGGAGAGAGGUUAACCCACAUUGAAACUUGCAAAAAGAUUUUUUUUGUUUUGUUUUGUUUUUCCUAACAGACAGCAAAGGUUCUUCUCAGUUAAAAACACAACUCAUAAAACAAGACAGCUACCAGGUAAGAAAGAGUUUUGAAAAAGUAAACACCAUAUACACUUAUAAUACAACAGUGUAAAAUGAAAAAAAGUAUUUACAUGUUGAAUUUACUGUUAAGUAUUUUUUACAUUGGCUAGUUCUGUUUGAAAAGCAGAAUAUUAUGUUAUACUAUUAGCUGCUCCAAAGAUAUGAAUGUUAUUGCUGUUGGUUUUUUUUUUCCCUUCGUUAAGUCUUCUUUCACUAAUAGAAACAAUGAGUAAUUAAACUGAAUAUACAAGUAAUAUAUUUUUAAUUACAGGGAGAGUCAACAGCCUCUGUGAAACACCUCUUCUCCCUUUUAACUUGGAAAAGGAAACUAAAGAGCAGAUGAAGUGAGAAGAUGGCCUUUACAAUUCCUACACUCGCGGGCCGGAGUGCAAACGGAGCGCAGCGCGGACUGAGCGGUGAGUGAGAGCUGCCCACUGCAGGGCAGCAGACACAGAAAUUACACACAGAACCCCCUCACCUCAACACCUCCAGCAUUGCUUCCCCUGAAGGUUCCCACCACGUUGAGAGGCAUUUUCUAGAAAGUGUCUCUAUGGCUUGAUACUGACAGAAUUGUUGUAAAAAUAAGUUACAUACACAGGAAUUCUGAAUUAAAAAAUAAUUAUUUCUGCAGAAUGUAUCAAGAUUUUAUUGUAAAAGUGUACUUAGGAAAGACACACAACAAUUUACGAUUCCUAUCCUGUAAAAACUCCCCUGUCAAUUAACUGCUGGUGGAAAGGGGUUGCUGUCAGCCUUUGUGCACCUUAUUCAAUCACACUGAUUUGUAAACCUGAUUUUACAGACAUUUUUUACUAGGAUGUUUCCAUUCCCUAGAAUCAAACACUUGUAAGUCUUAACUUCAAAUGCAGUGAUUUAGUCAUGUAUUACACUUUAUUAUAAUACAUGGCAAAAGAAGAAACCGUGCUUUUCUAACAAUAGUACAUAAUUCAUAUUGUAAUUCAUUUUAGAAAGAUCUCUUGCAAAUCUCAUCCGAUCUAUGUGAGAAACAAGGAUGAUUAUAGUGGUUUGACAGCAAAGAAAAAUGUUCCUUAUUAAUUUUUUUUCUUUGGGGGAAAAAAAAAAAAGCAGAAUUCAUUGAUGUUGGAGGGUAAAAGCAUCACACGCACAGAAGUUGUGGCAGUGAAUCACUAUCCUUCCUGAGACACACGAAAUAAAUAGUGCCAUGUGCUACAGGUCAGUGGGCGCUGCUCCUGGAAGGAAAAGCAAAGUGAGAGGGCUGUGCUGCCCAUGUGUGGGUGAGUCAUAGUGGGAGGAAAACAACAAUAUCUAAAAAGCAGAUUUCAGGAAUCUGAUAUUGGGGUGAGAACAGAUGUGUUCUAUGUGUAAUUUCUUAACAUGGCAGCAAAACGUAGCAAAUGGGAGACUUCUGAAAUGCACAAUGAUCAGCUAAAGCUAAAAUCGUUCAGUUUCCCUUGAAGAAAUCAGUGAAUAAUACAGAUCUGGAAAUCAUAAGGCUGAGAACAUUUUUUUUAUGCAUACUGCAUAACAAAAUAAACCCUUUACAUAAGACAGUAAUAAUGCCCAUUAAUGAAUAUACAUAUGGCAGAGAUUUUAAUUCCAUGCAUAUGAUUUAAUAAUCGCAGAAAAAAAAAAAAAAACAUACAAAGAAGCAAAAAAAAAAAAAAAUCCCACAUAAAAAAAACCCCAACAACAUUGCCUAAGCAUAAUCAAAAAUCCUUUUGCAUUGCACUUUAGAGGAGGAGUUCUGCAUCCAGCCUCGGGCUCCAGCAUCCCACGCGCAGGGCCAAGGCCUGCACAACCAGACAGGUUCGUGUCAUUUAUUUGCUGUCACUGUUUCUUGCUCCCAACAGUUCUACAUUGUCCCAGUAAUUCUACUCCUUUCUUAUUUCUUCUUUUUGUACCUAAAACGUAUAUAUGAACUUCUCUGUUAAUGCUCACAGUUACUAUAAUGGUUAUUAUAAUGGUUUCAAGCAAACAGCUCUUGUUUAAAAAAAAAUAAAAAACAAAAAAACCCCUCUAAUGUACUGUAAGUAAAUACUGUAAUUUUAGGAUUGGAAGCCGCUUUCUGUCUACAGGGAAAUAAUUUUUAAGCUUACAUAGUUUGCAUUAAUGUCCAAAAGCAAAUAAAGAUUACUGGAAAUACAUUUCUUUGUUUAGAAUAACUUCUGGGUAUGACGAUGCAUAGAAUUUUUUUUUUCUUUUUAUUCUUUAAGGUUUAAAAAAAAAGUGUCAGCAUUGCCUAUAGAAGAUGCUGAGAGGAAAAAUGAGCUGGAAGGCACAACUGCAGCCCCAGAUCAACUUUUCACUGAGCUUGAGUGUAUCAGAGGCUGACAUCCGAGGUUCAGGAGGGCUCUGAGCACAAAAAAAGCAGCAAACGUGGGAAGGAUGCUUAACCUUUUGUUGCCAAGGAGCCAGCACCGAUCUGACAGCGUGAGAUGCUGCAAGGAGUAAAGCAGCAACUCAGUGACUUGUGACUAACCAGGCUUUUAUUUGGCAAAGUGGUUUCUCACUGCAUUUUCUGAAAUCCACAGACAAAAGAAACUUACUGAUACAAAGUGGGCCCAGAAAUAUUUUGUGAAGCAUUUCCUUAAGCUUUCAGACUGUUGUUUUCUAAAGUAAAUGACAUUUUGAGGGGAAAAAACAACAACAAAAAAAAAAAAAAAAAAAAAACCAACAUAUGAGAAGAUUUAUAAUAUCCCUUAAUUUUUUUUUAAGUAAAUUCCAAAGGGAAACGGGCAUGUGAACUUCAACGUUAUCCUUUCUAAGACAAACUGAUAACAAGCAGCCUAAUUUGACCUCUAGCCAACCAGGGCCACGUUGGACGUGUCAGAUCACAUUUUCUGGUUCAAUUCAGUAAUACAGUAACAAAGCACGAAACCAGCAGAAAGCAUUUCUGACCCCGUACCUCUCUGACAGCCUUCCCUGGCCGCACUGUCAGGGUGGAAGCAGCCGACCGGGCGGCACAGCAGCUCAGUGGGUGAGAGAAGGCCAGGUGCGCCCAGAAAAACACACUUCCAUUUGGUGAACUGGGGCUGUUCAUGGAUGUGAUUGCUGGUGCCUGUGGAUUUACCAAAAUACACUCCUGAAGCAAUCUGCUGCCUUCCCCUGCCUUAUUUCCAGCUCUGCAGGGGCUGGGCUGGGUGCCUGGCUCGUGUUCUCUGUGCCCUUCUCUCCUGGCUCUGCUGCACCCAGUGACUGCUGCAUCUUCGGGCCGCUCUGUGCUGUGAGCAGCCAUCCACUAGGGGAUAAGCUAAGACCACUGAGAACAGGACAGUGCUCCCUUCGGGAAGGAGCUGAGUGCCAGCCAAACCCUGCAGAAUGGCCAAGUCAGUGGAACCACUCACACAACACCGUGGGCUCACUGCCACCCAGCCUGGCCGACUCCUGAGCUCACUGGCUGGAAAUGAUGUUCCCACACCAGAUGUCACCGUGUCCCUACGCAGCAUCCUUAUAAAGGCUUGUCUAUCCUCACCGUUGAUUUAAUGUCCUCAAAGCUAUCCCAGUACACAGAACUCUGUAUUUCAGUCUCUUAAAAAAGAAUUUGGGAAAUAUCGAGAAGCUGAAGAACUCAAUUUCCUAUUUCUACCUCUCAUGGAAAUCAGAAGCAUCUCAACUGAAAACCCCGCAGCUAAAAAAGCCUGCAAACCCAGAAUAGGCAAAAUAAAAACUGGGCUCUCAAUCUAUAGAUAGAUGCUGUCAUUUGUUCAAGCUAUCGCUUCUGCUACGAGUUCAUGCAAACAGCUGAGUUCGGUUACACCAGGAGGAAGGGUGGGGCUUCCUGCCUCCUCUGAUGCUCGCCUGGCUGUGAAAAUCAAGCAGCUUUCUCAUUAGGGGCACAAACCACAAGACCAGACGCCGGUCUGAUACAAUGUGGAGAAACCCCAGAGAUAGACUGCUUGGGUUCAAAACGUGUCAGACAUCCGAAGAUAAAAAUACAUUAAAAAUGAAAGAGCAGGGCUGGUGGUGAGCACGCAGAAUGCCCCGCUGGCACUUGGGUGGCACAGCCUGAACUCACCAGGGUCUCCCACUGACCCCGUGAGUCUCUGAUGAACAGUUAUCUGGUUGCUCUUUGGAAUGCUUCUCCUGGCCAGCUCUGGACCACCUCAGCUCACGUUUUACCCCAAAGGAACAUGAAAUUGAGGCAAAGUCCUGAAGCAGCAACUAUCCUACAGAGCAGAUGCAGGCCCUACUGCAAUGAACACACCUGCACCAGAGGCCAUAGCAAUUACGAAGGGCCAACCCACCACCAGUUAUCAAUCUAAUGUUUCUUCACUCUUUGGGUAAGCUGGGCAAGACAGGUGGCUUUGUAGAGGACAUGGGCAGAGCACGCACAAAGAAGGGCUUGGGACCCCAAGUUUUGCUGCCGAUGGAGCCUCCCCUAGGAAGCUAACUCUAAUUCUGUUCCAAUUCAAAAGAUAUGUCAAGAAUAAAACCCCAGGCACUAAAAAUAUUCCAGUCAAAAGACCAGAAGGCUUCCCACCUCCCCAUUUUUCACUGCUCUGGUGAAGCACAUGCACCCACUUUGCCCCUCCAGUUGGGGACGUGCAAUCACAGGCAACAAUCACCUUCAGUCCCCCCUCCAGAGUGCGCCUGUCGGGCACAGCACAGAGUGUGAGCCUGCCUGGAGCUGAGCUUCCCCUGAUUCCACAGGGCAGCUCGUACUGCUCUGCUAGCAAGGUGAAUGCAGCUGCCCAGCUGUCAGACAGGGUGUUACAGACACAGGGAGAGAGCCUUAGGAAUGUGUGGAGAUAGAGGAUGUUCAUCUUUAACAAUUAGAAACUGGGUUUUUCUCGCACCAGACUAACUUCAGCAUGUUGUUCUCUGUAUUACACUGAUUUCAGAUAAGAGAUAACUUACUCAUUCUACACAGAAGGUAAUAUUUAGGCAUUUAUCUGCAUCUCUCCAAAGAAAAACCACAGUUACACCCCUCGCUAAAGGGAGCAUCAGCAAACCACUCACACUGGUUUCAGACCCCGACUGCCAUCUGAGCACACAGCCCACCCCCCAAGGCAGGCCUGGCAGCACUGUGCAGGGCCUUGUGGCACUGCUGCAGGCCUCAGCCCCAGCACAACACUGCUGUGCUGUCUGCACACAGCGUGCCCCACUCACGCAGCAGGACCCACUGUGCCCUAGGCAAUUCAGCAUAACCCACUUUUGUCAUCAGAAAUUAAGCUGAGUAUCCCUGGGCUGUUACUCAGGAGCCCAAGGAGAAGUUCCCAGAAAAACCAUCCAUCUCCCCUUCUUGCCGCUUCUUACAGCUUGACGAGCAAUAAAUGCCAAUCUCAGGCCUGACAGUCAAAUGGAAAAAGAGACAAUUCAAUCAUAUGGAACUGAAUGGUACAAAGGUGGAAACAUUUUCAGAGUGGCAGGGGAAGGAAGGAAAACCAAAACAACAUCCUCUGCACCGCAGGACUGUCUUAAGAGAGCACUCCUUCCCUUCAAAAGCUGUGAAACCACCCAGUUUCUUCAACCCAAGUUUCCAAAUCUACAAUCACUGAGUUUUUCACAGCCACUCCUUGAGUCUCUGCAGCAGCUGCUCAACAAAAUGGGUAUUUCCCACUCAAAGUGACCCUGAUCCCCAGGUGCUUGUGCUGGGAAGCAGGGUGCCAUGGAGGCACAGGGAGCGAGGACAAGGACGAGGCAUGAGCACAGUGGCAUGCAUUCCGACAGCGGCAGCAAAGUCCACUGAAAAAAACACUGCUCUGAUUUUCUCUCUUCCUUUUUUCCUUUUAUUUGUUUUGAAGAGACAUCUGAAAAGAUAGCUGAUUAUUUGCUAAGCAAUGUACUUGGGUUUUGGCUCUUGGUUGGAGCAACUGGAAGCCUCUUUUCCACUGGCUAAGAGCUUGUUUUGCCCUUCCAGUGGAAACUAGAAGUUAUGGCUUGAAAAGAAUUCCCUGCCCUGUGGUUUAAAACAAAACAAAAACUUCAGCUCCCACUUCCCCAGCUGAGCUGAGCCAGUAAUGGGGAGCGGUGCAAGGAGGUCGGGACUGAAGAGGAAAAGGGCCCCAAUCCCUGCCCGCUGCUGGCAGCACGCCCUGGGAGCGGAGGAAAGGGGCUGGCGGAGGGCAGCGUGCAGCAGGGCUGUGCCUGCACACAACAAGGCAGCGCUGGCAGCCCCGCGUCCGGCCUCUCUUGUAACUGAGGCCGAGGGGAGCUUUGCCAUCAGAUUCAGCAAGGAAAAUCAAAAUUUCCUCUACAAACAGGUUUGCUUUGCCCAGGCCUUGCUGAAUUGUUUCUGGGGUCAUGGUUCUUGAAAUUAAAAAGCCCUCUGUGGAUGAAAUUUUCUCUUGGUGUUUUCUUUGAAAUGAAACCAGCACCUCUUGCUGUAACUGCACUGAAGUUCCAGCUUCGAGCUCUCUCCAAGGCCUCGGUUCCUGUGCUGCAGAGACACGUCCACUCUGCCCGCCAAGAAUCUCAUUUUAAUUUCAAAUGUUACAUAAAAGGGCAAGCAUUCCCCUUGAGGUUUUCACUAAUACCGGCCCCACCAGGCACUGCUCUCCCUCCAACGCCAGCUGAUGCAUGAUGGACUUUGGCGACCAGACGGUGCCAAACCCCGCAGAGGGCUGCCGGAAAGCACCAAGCUCCUGGCAGCACCUGGGCAGCAGCCAACUCCGGGUGCUCGAUUCGGGUCCCCAGUGCCAUAGGUUUUAUGGCCGUUAGUAGGAUGUGUUAUAUUACACACUGGGUACAAAGACCCAUCCUGCCAGAAUUGAGCGUCCUUGCAGCACAGCUAUGACAAAAUAACCGGCAUCUCCCAGACAGCCCCAAGCACUGGGCAGCGCUUGUUGUACAACAUAUUCUGACAAUUCAGUUGGAAAACCAGGCCACCAGCCCCGUCCCCACCAACCCCGGAUCUGCAGCCCGCCGGGUUGCUCUGCCGCCCUGCAGCAGACGCCUGGCACGUGUGCACACGCAUGUGGCACCGGGGGGACAGGGCCUGCUGCCAGCCCGCGCCAGGGCCGGCCGUCUGACACGUCGUGACAAAUUACUUCCAAGGCUGCAGAGCCAGCGGAGCACAGCAGACGCAGCUCUGCUCGUCUGCACCGCGGUCUAUGCUUCCCUGUGGUUAUUUAUAGGGCCUUUGCUGACAACCUGCUCCGCGUCCCCGCCCUUCUUUCACGUCCCAAAAAGGCAUUCUGUCAGCAGAGCUGGUUUGGUUCUGGUGUCAUUGCAGGAACCAGCAAUACACUAGAAUAAGAACAAUUGGAUUCACCUGGGUCCUUCUGGCUGCACAACAGCAGCAUUGCCCAAAGGCUGCGGUAGUUUAUUUUUCACUUGUGUUUAAUCUGCUGGAGGUUGCUCCAGGAAAGCUUCAGACUUUUGUGUCAGAGGCAGUCUGUGUCCCAUCACAGGACGGAGCACAAGGACACCUCCAGUCAGCUCUAACACUCCUGACGUUCCCCAAGCAUAUGGGUGAAAGUAGACUGUCAAUUCAUUGAUCAUGGAUUAAUAGUUCCAAAUCCUAUUAAGGAUAAGACAAAGUGCAAUGGAAACCCCUAGUCCUGGUGAAAAAACGGUGCAAGGCCCCAUUUAUCUCCUCGGUUCCUGCAGGAACUGCUCCCUGCAGCAUCUGAUGAAGACGACCGCAUUUUUUGACUGAAGGAACGGAGCAGCGACCAUACAGUUAAGGACAGCUCAGGUGCAAAUGGGUUUUAGGUGAGUUAGAUCCUGAACACGCUCAAUAUCAUCAAGAAGGAGGCCUUUUUCUUGGUGCCUUCUCCAUCAAGACAGGCCAUUUCUAUAAAAACACCAUUUCUGAGGACUAUCUUCUCACCACCCGUAUAUAUAGAAAAUAGGAAAAAAUUAAUUCUUUGCUUACAAAAUGUUUUGAAAGCUACAGACAGGCAGAUGCUUCCUUAAGUCCCCGACAACUAACGUGCUCUACAAUUCAAAGGAAUUCACAAGAAGCUCAUCUACUUUAAGUAACAGUUAUUACUUCUGAAACCUCCCCAGAGCUCUGAGGAUAAAGGCAGACAACCAAUUACCGUCUUAGACUUCCAAAGCUGCUUUUGCUGCCUUCAGAAAUAAGCGUCACGCGCUGCGGGCACCAGAUGUGGAGCUGAGGGGUGAGGGGAGAGGGCAGAGAGCAGAGGGCCCCUCAGCUCACCCUGCCCAGCAAACCCACGCUGCGCAUCCUCCUGCCAGAACGGCUUUGCCUGGGAGAACCCUUUCUGUUCCACUGGGUGAGCAGUCUAUACAGACCUGAUUUUAGUUUCCGCACAGUACAGAUAGAGGAGGAGCUGUGUCCUUUAGCAGGGCGCUGGGACGGUCACCGCACCCACCAACCUGGCAGACAGAGCCUUUAGCAAACGGCCUCAUUCAAUACACAACAUAUUGGCAAAAAAAACGCACCCAGCUUUUUAUAAUUCUGAGAGAACUCACCUUCUGACUGCAGAGGAGAGACCUAAAGGGAAAUGCCCCUUGUAUACGUGCAGAUGUUUAGAGGUAGAGUCACAAUGUAUUUCAACAACUUAAUUUUAUAUAACCAAAGGAGGCAGUAAAAGAUAAUCAGAAGGGGAAAAUGGGAGGGGGUCGGGAUGGACAGGAGGUGAAAAUCUGGGGCACCACAAGAAGGCUUUCAGCUCUUGUGUAACGUGACAGAUUUUAAGCCUUUAGGGGGAGAACUGGCUAAGCAAUAUUGCAGUGCAGCGUGACUGCGCAGCCACAUGGGUUGUGUCUGCUACGGCUCUAUUAAUAGGAUGGGAGAUUAGAGAGGUCUGACUGCGUACGGCCUCUAUCUACCAAUGCAAUUCCUGCUUGGUCUCCGCUCCCUCAGUGCCACUGAGGCUGGCUGGGAUGCCAGAAUGGGUCUGCACCCCAAGGUGCCCACCAGCCCGGGCUGCCCAGGGCAUCUGCUGACCCCAGGCCAUCCUCCGGAUCUGCCAAAGCACCCAACCUCUCCUUUACAUCUAUUUAAACUUAACAGGCUUUAAGCACAAUUUUAAGCGCUUCUAAGUGCCUUGCAGAAUUAGGACUUGGUUGGUGCACAUACAGUGAGUUCUGUUGUCGUGCCCAGAUAAUGAAUACGAACACCCACCGGGACAACCAGCACUGUUUUUCCCCCUUACUUCUCACUUCUGUGUUACAGUGUGAGUUCUAUUCCACAUCCUUCUGUGUGUGUGUAAUGUGUCUGACCCCUAUAAAGACGGUCAAAUAAAUAUCUGGUGACCUCACAAGUAUGAAAAUAAGCUUAUUUGAAACAAAAAGUAUAUCUUCAGGGGGUUUGGCAGUAACUUUCAAUUAUUUUUAAUUGCCUGGAAAAUUAAAGUAAGAAAAUAGCGUGGUAUAAAUGUUAGGGAACAUUAUUAAGCAGUUUUCAUAAUAUCUUAGCUGUAGCUUAAUGGACAAAAACGGUUUUUUAAGCCUUGGUCAUCUGUUCAAUAUGAAUGGACUGUCUGUUCCCAUACCUCCUCAAGGGGCAACUGAACUGAAAUAUCUCGUGAUAGAAACCAGACUCAGUUUGACCUGGUAGGCAAGGAGAACUCCACAGAACCUCCACAAUUAGGGUUUAAUUACAAACCACCAUGGAGUCUGGCCUGCAGCCUGAGACCAGAAACACGAGGAAAGGAGUUCAGAGAAGGUUUGGAGCCACGAGCACUGACCUCCCCUCCCCCAUUUCCCUUUUUUCCUUUCCUUGCACCAUGGGAUGGGCUUUUCUCCUCUUAUCACCAACACAACUGACAUGCGAACUGCAAAGUAAGCAAGAUUUCCAAGGCAACAGUCUAAGCCUGCCUUUCUUCCUUCUUGGGGAAUUGUGCCAUCACCAGUCUCUGACAUUCCAUCAAACACAUCACGGGAAUCGACACAAAUGAAAUUCAGCCCUGGGACGGUGAUGGCUUCAAAGGCUCUGAUAUUGUUUUCUGUUUUUGUUGGAAACUUUCAAGUCUCAGUCCCAGUUGUGAGCUGCAGUUUACUGAUGAAGCCUAUAAUGCAGAGAAUGAAAAGCCACCACAAGCAGCCUACCCAAAAAGCAGCAAAACUUUAUAUAAGCCACCAUUUGUGGCCUUUCAUAUUCUGGGGAAGAGUAGAACCGUGCUACGUUUGUGGUGAAGUAGUGGUAUAAAUUAGCAAUAAACGCCUGACCCUAAAGCCUUAGGUCACUGCAAAUCCCAAAUUAGGCCCUCACUUCUCCAAAGCAAACACAGCACCAUCCCUGGGGCAGGAGGACCGUCAGAGCUGGGUGAUGGGAACACAGCCGCUCGGACACACACCCAGCGGGCACACGGGGUCUGUGCUCAACCCUGUUCUCACACAGCUGGUGUGCAAUGACCUUAUCUGAGAGAACUUCAGGGAAAGAGAUGUGUGCAGCCACCUGGAGCAGGGAUGGGCCAUCUUCUAAUGGCCGAGGCUGAAACAGGGGAGGGUCAGGCACAGAAGGGAUCCCGAUAACACAGGGCUGCAUCCUGCGUGGGAAACCAAAUGCAAGGAUGGUACAAAACCACCAGUUGUUUUCAGAAGGACAAAUUUAGGCAACGAUCCCUGCGCUGCUGGUCUCUGCAGUGCUGCUGAAUGUUCCUGGAUGACUCAACAUGCAUGCACACCACAUGCUAGACUGUGGCACCCACUGAGCUACCUGCACUUGCUGCAUGCACAGUUACUGUUCCUACAGAGAGACAAGGAUGACGACUGUGAAAAACAAAGCAAGACAAAACAAAGGAAACGAGUCUAUAAAAGACUAUCUGUUGUGUAAUGUUCUUGAAUCUGAUUCCAUGCAACAUGGUAAUGGAAAUGCAAGCAAACAAUAUAUCCCAGCAUUGUGCCAGCACAACCAGUCACACACAAGACACUAAACUACAUAUUACCAACUCUACCACCAAAUCUUUAACCUAUCUCAUCGUAAGGACACCUCUGUUCGAUUUUUCUCAGAUGAGACCUAAACAAAACAGGUUAACUUGAAGGUUUAAUGGAAUAUGCCUACAACAGUCGAAGCCCAAGACCUGCAUUGGAAGCAGAGCAACGCAGUAUUACAAAGGUCACGACCCAGCAGGGCAAGGCUCUGGCUGGGAAUUACUAGCUCAAGGGCAAAAGCAGGCCUGAGAAGGUGACACACCAUGCAGACAAUGAGCAACAGUGUACAAAAAAGGUCUGGCGGAUACGUUUUGCCUUCCCAUGUCCUCUCAAGGAACAAAGUAACAGCCUGCUGGUAUAAACGCACCAUCCUGCCUACUGUAAGUUCAGCUUGGAAAGUGCAGAUCAGCCUGGUAAGUCCGUUCUCUACAAGGCCAAGUUUAGUCAACUUCCAUACGAAAAAGGCUGAGCCAUUACUGUACAGAAACAAGGAACACGGUGCUAGCACAAUGGAGAUAAAGCAGCAAAUUUCAGAAAGAGGGAAGGAAAGUUAUUUAAAAUACAGAACAGAAUCCCAAACCUUUAUUAAAGAAUACAGAUUAAUUCUGUGGGAGAGAAGUUUAUCAUUCGCACUGCUGCUGCUGCUGAAGUGGGAGGAAGGAACUGCGGGAAGCCAGGCAAAUAAUGUCUGGCUCAGCUGUUAGGGUAGCAGCUGUCCUGAAAUCCUCAUUGGAGGGAACAAGCCAGGAGGUCAGGGAAGUCAUGAUUAUUUGGAAAGAAGGAGGAAAACAAUAGGUUGGGGCCCUCUGUCUUCUUGCCUUUCUCGUGUCUUUUGUUAGCUGUUGACUUCCCAGGAUAGCUGGCUCGCUGUGCUCCAGGCAGAGCUGGGUCUGGCCUUGUACCUGCCUUUUCUCUCCACAACUUCCUCAAUUUAAAAAAAAAAAAAAUAAGACCCCCCAGCUCUCUGUGCAGCCAGGUGUCACCGUGAGGCUUGGAGGCUCCAAAUGCUUCAGCAAUCAUCAGCAAAACUCGGCUCAAGAUGGGGCCAAGUCCCUUGAAAGUCUUAAUUUUCACUCUAGCCUGAAAAUGCUUUCUGGUUUUAAAGGAUUUUUUGUCUCAUCUCUCUCCCACCCACCUCCCCCUUUAUGUCUCCUCCAUGCAGUUCUACUACCGAUCCACAGAUUAAGGAUUUUUGUUGGGUACCAUCACAGUUGUUAGUAGGAUACUUCUUGUGUUUUAACACUGGCAAAGAGACCCACGCACAGACUUGAAUAACGUCUUGAAAGAAGAUGGAGAAUUUAAUAAGAGGGCAGAUGGAUUGAAAGAAGAUUAAAAAUCCAUUUGAUCCCCAACUCCCAGGGAUGCACCUCCUCCCUUUCCAUCCUACACACACCUGAUUCCUGACCCCAUAUUAAAAGGCAGAAGGCACAAGAAUAAAAACCUAACAAAAUCCAGGUUACGUUUUAUGCUCGGGACAGGUUUAAUCUGUUUGUGCAGGAGAUGAAGCCACAGUACAGUUACAUGAUUCCAUUUGGAUAUCCACCAUCAAUAGACUUGAAAUAUCCUGUUGCAAAGCAGUGCUAUGUGAUUUACAACAUCACCAUGCUAUUUGUGAGAGCUAAAGCUUUUAUUUUUUCUAAUGGUAUUUGGCUUGGCUUGUUUUUUUGACCUGCUGCUGCUCCCAGGUUCAACAGGAGACAUGUUUCUGUAAGCUGAUUUCUCUGUGGCUGAGGGUUUAAUCAGGUCAAAGUAGCGAUUAAAACCCGCACUAUAACCACAACCUUAAAGGGAUAGCUGUAAGGUUAAGCCUUCCCCCACUCCCCAUCAAAAUCAGAUGUGAUGCUGCAUCUGUCCCUGGCAAACAGAAACACCUUGCAAUUUGCUGCCUUCUGGGUUGCCUUUCCUUUGAACAAAGCGUAAAACUAUGGGUAUGUACUCAGAGAUCAAAAUAUGCAAAUGGAUUAAGGGCUGCACUUAAUGUGAAUGCAUUAACGCUGUCAAGACAUCCCUGAAGGUGGGCUUUCUGACACCCACUCUACUCCAACACACACACUGCAGGCUUCCAGCACAGCUACCUCAGCCCCGUCAGUGCUCCCGACAUUCUUUCCUCCAGUUUUCCACUUGCUAUGUUGUAGGUCUGCGGUUCUUCUCAUCCAUCCAAAGACAGCACGACAGCAUGUUUAGCAUGGUGAGAAACGGAGUAAGAAAUGUAAAUGGAGCAGCGUUUCCACAGCCCUGCGCAGCGGUCACAAACAUUAAGGCCAAAACCACUUUUCUAAUCACAACUAAUUUCAGAAAUCAGACCUUACUUUCAAGCAGCUUCAAUCGUGGCCUGUAUGAAGAGCCAACGAGCUGUGCCACCAAGCACACAAGCCCUGCUCCCGUCUUCACUCUGCUCAACAAAAGCAGGCCAAGUGACUCGCGCCAGGGAACCCAGAGCUCAGGAGGCAGGCUGCUAGAUGCUGGCUCCUAGUCCUGUGUUCUAACCAUCAGAAAUCACUGGCAGCACUGAUGGGUAUUCUUUUCAGAGAUAGAGAGCAACAGCAGCUUCUGAUGUUCAUGGAAGACCUGCACCAAACGUACAAAGGAUGUUCUGAAAAGCAUCCCUGGAAGGAAGGCAGCAUUCAGGUGGUGAGCCUGCUGGUUCUGCCCUCUCCUCGCUCCUGUCACUGCAGCACCUUCCAGAUACCAGCUCCUUCCCAGUAUGUGGGAUAGCAUCUUCUUCCAAGCUAUUCUUGACGCUGUACUCCCACUCCCUUUCUAUGUUUUUAACCAUUUUAAGGCUGAUUUGGGUCACGACUAACAUGAUUAGAUACUAAAAUCAUGUGCUGCUAGCAAUACUGCUGUGGAGCUGCCAGGACCCACGUGGAAUGCAAGUGGUGGAGCCUUAAGAUGGGUGGGAAAGCAUUCACAUUAACAUUUUCUUUCUCCCCUUCUUAAUAUGAAAGCUGGGCAAAAAUCCCACAAGAAGAGAAAUCUCAACUUUACUCUUUCUGUAGCCCAUUUCUAGCUGUUGUGAACUACGUGCUCUUCUCACGGAUAAAAUAAAACAGAAGGAAGAGAAACCACUCCCUACUUCUGAUGGCUGCAGAAUGAUCUGUUUAUCUGCUUUAGGGCAAGAAGAGCUCUCUAAUAGUUACAAAGGCCAGGAUUAUUGUGCUCUAUUCCUGGCUCUGCUACUGAUGCUAUUUGAAUAUCUUCAGGUAAAUCAAGGAACGCAAGUGUUUCAUUAAACCACAUCAGUGUAAGUAGUAUCAGAACCUCUACAAACUGGCCUCUGCUUAAAAGCACAAUGCUUAAGCAUCUUUCCUCCAAGACCUCAUCUCUCAGCUGGCCAAGAUCUGCUAACGUCCCAGGCACCACCUGCGUGCCUCACACACAUCACAUUCCUUUUCUGUAGCACUUCCAACUCAUUGUUGCCAAUAUGUGCUACCUGUAAAUGCCUGAAACAGCGUGGAAAGUGCAGAUCACAAACUCAGCUAUCCUAGCAAGAAAGUGGCAAGUCACACAGUUCUGAAGGCUUUUACCACCCUGACUGCAUGCGUGCAUCGCUGUACCUGCUACAGCUGUGCCUUCAGCCACCCUGCAGCUCCGUUACCGCAGCCCCGCAAGGUCGCAGCCCAGCAGGGCUGUCUGGCACGAGGCUGUCAUGCAGCUGCACCACACGCACCCCUCCCUCCUCUGCUCCUUCCCUAGAAGGGACUCUACAAAUUCAUCUCUGGGAGAGAAAGGGAAUGCCAGCACGCUCUGUAAAGUCACAGUGCUUCCAGUGCAGUGCUGAGGCUGCAGUUUUCCUGUCCUCUACUUCCACUUUCUCUCACGUCAGAUCACAUUAAAGUAACAAUCAAUUUUUCUGUCUGGCUCAUUCCCGCGCCGUACAAGCACCACCUCUCCCCCCCCAGCCUUCAGAGGCAGGGAAGCCUGGCUGAGAGCCCAACAUUCAUCAAUAAGCCAGCUCCAUGGCUGGUGGAACAACCUGGCAGCAGCGCGUCUUCUUUCUUCUUUUUAUUGGCUUAUAAUCAAGCCUCACACCUGCUAAGCAUGAUUACUACAAAGAUUAAAAUUUGCAGAGGUGCAAAAUAAAAAUAGCAGACACAUAACCCGGGCAAGGACAAGGCUGUCCAAGGUUUAACCUGACAGACCGAGCACAAUUAACCCCUUCUUACGGUCCCAGCAUCAUGCUUAGUUUUAAGUAAAAGCAUUUCAAAUGGUUGAGGAGGCACCGUGCAGCACUGCCCAUCGAGUUCUGUAGCUGCAGCCCAUUACAAUGACAGCAGUGUACUGACGACUCUGAUGCUCAUUAGAAGCUAAGGGCAAAAUCCUGUGCUCACAUCUCCAGGCACACAGAGAUGAAUCCGAGCCUCCUCACUCUGCAGAACAUCGCUCUCAUUGCCCUUUUUCCUUUACCAGGGGCACACCAGCUUCACAGGCAGAAACGUUUCAGCAAUAUUUUGUAAAGAAAAUAAAAACAAAACACAACACAUCGAGAUUUUCACUGCUACCACUGCACUGCCAAAAAUACAUUUACUGGUUGAGGAGAAGCAGCAAUCAUCUUCAGCUUGGGCUUUUCCCUCAGGAUAACAAGUGCCCUUCCCCUGGCCUCACUCUUCCCCACUGCCCACAGCCCCGAAGCGCAGCAGUGCUGGCAGCCUCGAGGCAGCUGACAGCCAGCCCUGAAAAGGAUUGCUGGGCUCAGCAGGACGCAGGGUUUGGACCAGAGGAGAGGCACCAGACCGCCGCUCCACAAGCUGCAGGCCCCCUGCCCCAAGACAAAGCUCCGGCAGCACAAGUGCCAAGCAGAGCAGCCCCUGGUGCCCACCCAGGCUCAGCCUUCCUCCUAAAGGGCCGGCGCUGGACCCAGGGCCGCUGUCCCCAAACCUUGCUGGUGACCGACACUGAAUGCAGGUGUCUGUGGAAAUAAAGAGCACGCACCAGGUCUCCUGGGAGGAGGGCCUGUGAGGAGGAGGGGAAUUAUUGUGGUUUAGAAAAGGGUAGGGGCUGGUAGAGAGAAAUGCUAUAAAAGCACCAUGACGACAGAGGAGGGUGAUGGAAAGGUCAGCCUCUUUCAAUAAUGCUCCUUUUUUUCCUUGUCCAAAUGAAACACUUGGCCACGUCCAUCGGCAGAGUUCAGCCGGAGGUAAAUGGCCAGACCUGGGGCCAUAAAGCGUCUGGGGACGCUGGGAUGCGCUGCCCUGCGCGGGGGGGUCACCGGCAGCCCUCUGCCCUGCGCCCACAAAGGCGACCACCGCAGCAAAGGGCUCCGAAACUGCUCUGAACAAAAGGUGCUGCUGUGUGUGUUGCAGGCAGAGCUGGACUGCGGCUCCUAUUUACCUCUGACAAACACCUCCUGAUGCCCAGAGCCUAUCACGAAGGGUUGCGGGAGGGAAAAAGAAGGUAUUUUCAAUAAUGAAACAGUGAUUAAUCCUGAUAGGCAUGCAGCCCUUAGAGCUACUUUUCAGCUGCUAGUGGUAGGUGGUCAAAUUAUACCUUUCCAUCACAUUUCCCUCUAUUGCACAUCUCCUCGGUACAUUUUCUCAUGAAACGCUGUAAGGAUUCAGAACAAUUAAACCUAACCACUGAGUAAUUCCCACUCCUUUUUUCCCUCUAAUAUGAAAUCACUCUUUCUAGCGUGGUACCGAAGCGCUUUAGGAAAAUAGAUGUGAGCUGUGGAGUUGCAGCUCUGUAUUCACGCACAAAAAUGGUGCAUUACAACCAGAGAUGCGAUACAAAGAUUUACUGUUCCGUGGCAGGGGGUGCCACGGCCAGCUGAAGCGUUACUUCAUGUUUUCUGCUGUGUGUGACAAGUGGAAAAGCUUCCGGGAGAAAAAAAUUACGACUGUGUAGCAAAUGUUUUAAAAAUUACACAAACAAGGCAUUUCCUGCCUACCACAAUCCUCAGGGCUGAGAGUUUUGUUACCGACAACGGAGCCUUCAAACUGAUCUGCUAAGAGCGCAGGAGUGCCGGCACACCAGCAGUACAGCAGGAGCUGUUGAGCCCCAACGCGCUCUGGGCAGCUUUCCAUCCAGCGAUGGGUUCCUUCACCACCAGAGGAUCCGUGUGCUCCAUGGGAGCAGCUGCUGCUCACCCCGCAGCCCUGCAGCAUCGAGUCAGGCACCCAACGCAGGGCGGCUCACAGCAGAAACACUCCUGCUGGGGGAGAUGGGGUUUGUUUGCUUUAGAAAAGGAGAGGGGGUGGAACAGUGUGAUCAUUUCUCACUUCUACUGAUUAAGUUGCUUUCUAUUCUAUUUAUCACUUGUUUUUUAAUGCGGCUCCCUUCACACGCUCCUUUGGAAUAAUAAAAUGGAGUAGUUCCUUCCCACCCAAGUCAGAUUCUAAUAAGCACAACCUGUAAAUAAACAGAGAAUUAAAAGUCCAUCUUUUUUCUCAAAUGGUAACCCUUCAGCUUCUCCAUGGCAAGUUCUCUACCACACUUAUCCUUGGCACUAUCAGCCCUCUGGUCACCUACAAGCAUGCAGAGGCCCAGCCAGCUGUGCAAGGGGCAAUAAAGGGACGCCUGGUUCCCUGCUGCCUUAAGGAUCAAUGACACAAAACGACUCUGCUUUUCCAUUCCUCCAAGAAUGAGAGGAAACACUACACAUAAAAAUGAAAUGGGGUGUGGUGGUUAUUCCGCCUGUAAAGCUUAUUCACUAGGAACCUGAGUAAACCAAAAAGGAAUGUUCUGUAAGAAUAUGAGGGCUGCAUGGCUGUGCUUACCGUUUACAAACUGUUCUUAAGCUCUUCUGAGUUUUUCUAUUAAAAAGGCUUUGCAAAGUGUCUGGGAGGUUUCCCUCCCUUUAUGCUUUGUGUGCCAUCAGUGAGUGCAUUUGCAUGCAUGUUUUUCAUGAGUACAAACAUUACAAUUUCGUAACACACAACUGCUGCAGGAGGAGUAGGCUCUAAAAGUA
Molecule: long non-coding RNA, 21809 nt
Organism: Gallus gallus (chicken)
Lineage: Eukaryota; Metazoa; Chordata; Aves; Galliformes; Phasianidae
Exons: 5
Source: RefSeq, a predicted model, not a curated record